This 1530-nucleotide ribosomal RNA is filed under the name Escherichia coli UMEA 3124-1. RNAcentral describes it as "bacterial SSU rRNA". It matches the Rfam family "Bacterial small subunit ribosomal RNA". Lineage: Bacteria; Pseudomonadati; Pseudomonadota; Gammaproteobacteria; Enterobacterales; Enterobacteriaceae. The record is from RNAcentral.
AGAGUUUGAUCAUGGCUCAGAUUGAACGCUGGCGGCAGGCCUAACACAUGCAAGUCGAACGGUAACAGGAAAAAGCUUGCUGCUUCGCUGACGAGUGGCGGACGGGUGAGUAAUGUCUGGGAAACUGCCUGAUGGAGGGGGAUAACUACUGGAAACGGUAGCUAAUACCGCAUAACGUCGCAAGACCAAAGAGGGGGACCUUCGGGCCUCUUGCCAUCGGAUGUGCCCAGAUGGGAUUAGCUUGUUGGUGGGGUAACGGCUCACCAAGGCGACGAUCCCUAGCUGGUCUGAGAGGAUGACCAGCCACACUGGAACUGAGACACGGUCCAGACUCCUACGGGAGGCAGCAGUGGGGAAUAUUGCACAAUGGGCGCAAGCCUGAUGCAGCCAUGCCGCGUGUAUGAAGAAGGCCUUCGGGUUGUAAAGUACUUUCAGCGGGGAGGAAGGGAGUAAAGUUAAUACCUUUGCUCAUUGACGUUACCCGCAGAAGAAGCACCGGCUAACUCCGUGCCAGCAGCCGCGGUAAUACGGAGGGUGCAAGCGUUAAUCGGAAUUACUGGGCGUAAAGCGCACGCAGGCGGUUUGUUAAGUCAGAUGUGAAAUCCCCGGGCUCAACCUGGGAACUGCAUCUGAUACUGGCAAGCUUGAGUCUCGUAGAGGGGGGUAGAAUUCCAGGUGUAGCGGUGAAAUGCGUAGAGAUCUGGAGGAAUACCGGUGGCGAAGGCGGCCCCCUGGACGAAGACUGACGCUCAGGUGCGAAAGCGUGGGGAGCAAACAGGAUUAGAUACCCUGGUAGUCCACGCCGUAAACGAUGUCGACUUGGAGGUUGUGCCCUUGAGGCGUGGCUUCCGGAGCUAACGCGUUAAGUCGACCGCCUGGGGAGUACGGCCGCAAGGUUAAAACUCAAAUGAAUUGACGGGGGCCCGCACAAGCGGUGGAGCAUGUGGUUUAAUUCGAUGCAACGCGAAGAACCUUACCUGGUCUUGACAUCCACGGAAGUUUUCAGAGAUGGGUAUGUGCCUUCGGGAACUGUGAGACAGGUGCUGCAUGGCUGUCGUCAGCUCGUGUUGUGAAAUGUUGGGUUAAGUCCCGCAACGAGCGCAACCCUUAUCCUUUGUUGCCAGCGGUCCGGCCGGGAACUCAAAGGAGACUGCCAGUGAUAAACUGGAGGAAGGUGGGGAUGACGUCAAGUCAUCAUGGCCCUUACGACCAGGGCUACACACGUGCUACAAUGGCGCAUACAAAGAGAAGCGACCUCGCGAGAGCAAGCGGACCUCAUAAAGUGCGUCGUAGUCCGGAUUGGAGUCUGCAACUCGACUCCAUGAAGUCGGAAUCGCUAGUAAUCGUGGAUCAGAAUGCCACGGUGAAUACGUUCCCGGGCCUUGUACACACCGCCCGUCACACCAUGGGAGUGGGUUGCAAAAGAAGUAGGUAGCUUAACCUUCGGGAGGGCGCUUACCACUUUGUGAUUCAUGACUGGGGUGAAGUCGUAACAAGGUAACCGUAGGGGAACCUGCGGUUGGAUCACCU